This is a long non-coding RNA of Cyprinodon tularosa, 811 nucleotides long. RefSeq lists it as uncharacterized. The record is from RefSeq and is a predicted model, not a curated record. Lineage: Eukaryota; Metazoa; Chordata; Actinopteri; Cyprinodontiformes; Cyprinodontidae. The transcript has 3 exons.
UACACUACAGAAACCCCCCUUUUCUAUUCUACAAUGGAUGGAAAGACAAGUAUGGGUUUCGAAACUGGGACCUUUUGCGUGUGAGGCAAACGUGAUGACCACUACACUACAGAAACCCCCCUUUUCUAUUCUACAAUGGAUGGAAAGACAAGUAUGGGUAAGGAUUAAUGAAAAAUUCAGACAAGGAAUACCAAUGUGGAGUUUCUGCACAUUGCACUGGACCUGACUAAGCCCAUUUGAAUGUGUAGAGGAUUGACUGGUACUGUUGUAAGCUAGCCAGUUAUCUGUUGGUGAAAAUAAAACACAUAUCCCACAAUUGGGAGAAUACAUAUUUUCUCUAUUGUAUCCAGCCUCUAGUGUGUGGAUUUCUUUACAUGGGUUAGUUACGGUUGAUUCAAGACAAAGUUAUUGUCAAUUAUUUGCAUGUUUGCCAUUUCACCACAUACUACACUGAAAUACUAAAUGGCCUAAAACAUGAAAAUCUAUUUUGGUUGACAUGUUUUUUUCAAGAGUCAGUUUUGCUGACCGUGAUGGCUGGUGGCUAAUGGCAAAAAUAAAAAGGUUUGAAAAAAUUGUGGUUUUUGAGCACACACCUAGGGUGGAUGCUUACAACAGGUAUUCAACACCAAGGCUGUUUCUGCCAGGUUUCGAACCUGGGACCUUUUGCGUGUUAGGCAAACGUGAUGACCACUACACUACAGAAACCCCCCUUUUCUAUUCUACAAUGGAUGGAAAGACAAGUAUGGGUUUCGAAACUGGGACCUUUUGCGUGUGAGGCAAACGUGAUGACCACUACACUACAGAAACCCCC